UUUUUUUGGGUAAAGGAGGGUACUGAAAGUGAGGCCAAAGGAAAGCCGAAGUGCAAGUCACCGGAGAGAACUUGAGUUUUCCAGUGGUGGUGAAGGUGUGUUUGCCAUCAUUGGUUUUGGACUUGAAGACUAUCUUUGAGGACUCAAGGCCACUGUGGGUAGGGCAUGGUGCAGAUGAUGCACUGUGAAGCUGUGCAUAGCACUCUUCUUUCAAUUUUCCGUCUUCAAAGAUUUCCUUAGGAAGAGAGACUUUGAAUUUUCCUUGUUCGUUGAGCUCUCCAGCAGCUCUUGUUUUGAACUCUCCAUUUGUAGGCUUGCAGUCGAUGGUUACGCGAAGCCCUGAAAAAGCUUGACUAGUCUCUAUAUUACUCUCUGCACAAUCUGCACACUCUCCAAUCCCAACAACCUCAAGCACUGUCUUAUCGCCGCCAUAGCAG
RNAcentral lists this unclassified non-coding RNA (437 nucleotides) under Hevea brasiliensis (rubber tree). Lineage: Eukaryota; Viridiplantae; Streptophyta; Magnoliopsida; Malpighiales; Euphorbiaceae. The record is from RNAcentral.